AGGAUGACUGCUCCCUUACCCACCUGAAUCUGGCGGGAAAUGGACUGAUGGACAGCGUGGCCACCCUCUCCAAGUGUCUGCAGACCUGUCAGGGAACUCGGCAGUGACCUCAGCGGGACUCUACAGCCUUCUUUCCUCCCAGCGACCUUUGACCUAUCUCAACCUCCAAGAUACUUCAGACCCUGGGACAGGUGUAGUUUGGAAGGCCUGUCGGAACAGGUCCAGGACCUGUGGCUGUGCUCCCAGAUGCUCAACAAACUGGACCGCCAGGCGCUGCAGCAGACCCGGGACCAGAGGAGGCCCGUGGGCUGCUUGCUCUCCAGAGAUGCCAAGUCCCUGCUCACUACUGUCCCCUCACUGUAAGGAAGACUCCUUGAGUACUCACACCUUUUAAAGACUGGUGUCGCUUGGAUUCCAAUGCGUACACUUGAGGUAAUUUACAUUCCUUGGUCCUCAUAUUUGAGUCAUCUUUUGAUGACACAAGCUGCAGAGUGAUCUCUGCGUUAAUAUGUUGUAGGCGUUAUGUAGAUAUACUUAUUUCAGGGUGUGUUUGUGUGUGCGGUUAUACAUUGUGUAUGUGUAUUGUCUAUGUUUUUGUAAGUGUUCAAUGGGAAACAAAAAAUGUUAAUUGAAUGAAAUUCUCAUUAUUUUCGGACUGUUUAUUGCCAUGGGGCUUUUUUACAUGCAGCCUCCCAACAUUUGCUUACUGACUGAAGAAAUGGUCAAGCUGAGAAAUGAUUAAAUCCCUCCAUUUUGUCAUGUUCCCCCUAGUCUAUUCCCACAGCCGCUGUAUCUUCGACUCAACUCUGGGGGUGGAAAGUCAUGAUUCUUGCAAGUGAAACAAUGUUCGCAACUUGGUGCGAGUUUGUAAAGACACACAGCUUCACACUUUGGCCUUCUUCUCACUGUUUAAUGUUUCCACAAAGGAGGGUGUUGGGUGGGCUUCAAGAUACUGUGGGAAAGUGCCUAGUCACACAUCAGUGUUGUCAGAUCAGUGUAUCACUAUAUCACUCAGAGAUUGGACCAAGGCGAUUAUGUCCAGGAUAACUAACUUCAUCACCUUUUAUUGUAAUUUCAAAUUUAUAAAAAGCAAUUACUAAAUGGUUUCUGUUAGUGCAACUUGUGUAUGGUGCUACUGCCACCUUGUUAACUAUUUAAGCAUACUGUAACGGCUGUUGCAGGGAGUAGACCAAGGCUCGGCGUGGAGAGUGCUCAUCAUUUAAUUUUAAUAGAACACUUUAAACAAAACAAGAAAAUGAACGACAGCCAAACAGUUCUUUCAGGAACAUCAACUCUAAACAGAAAUUAACCACCCACAAAACCCAAAGGAAAACAGGCUGCCUAAGUAUGGCUCCCAAUCAGAGACAACGAUCUACAGCUGUCCCUGAUUGAGAACCAUACCCGGCCAAAACGAAGAAAUACAAAACAUAGAAAAAAGGACAUAGAAUUCCCACCCUAGUCACACCCUGGCCUAACCAAAAUAGAGAACAAAACCCGCUCUAUGGCCUGGGCGUGACACAUACCCAUUUGUGUAAAGGGCUGCUAACCACACAAUUAUGGUCGGGGACAUUUUUUUUUUUAAACGUGCACAAACCUUUUCACAGUUUGAAAGAUGUAGUAUGCAUCCGACACAAAUCUGGGGGUGGAGCGUCAUGAGUCUUGUAAGUCAGACAAUGUUCCCAGCCAAAUUGGUUUGAGCUUCUAAAGACACACAGCUUCUCACUGUGGUUUCCUUGUUAGUUAACCCACUGACUGGCUGCCUUCUCACUGUUUAAUAUUUCCACAAAGGAGGGUGUUGGGUGAACUUCAAGAUACUGUGGGAAAGUGCCUAGUCACACAUCAGUGUAUCACUAUAUCACUCAGAGAUUGGGCCAAGGAAAUUAUGGUUAGGAUUACUAAUUUCAUCACCUGUUAAUUGUAAUUUCCAAUUUAUAAAAAGCAAUUACUAAAUGGUUUCUGUUAGUUCAACCUGUGGAUGGUGCUACUGCCACCUUGUUAACUAUUUAAGAAUAACCAUUUGUGUAAUAGGGCUGCUAACCUGGGUUGUAAUGUUCACUGGGGAUGGGGUGGUCAUGUCCUCCCACAUUCUGAAAUUGCAUCCCCCCCCACACAGUUUUAUCAUUGCAAUAUGAUACAAAAAGUGGCAAUGGUGUGCUUUUGGACAAUGCGGAUGCUUCCAAGCAGGAGGGUAGGCUGUUUUCAGUUUCAGUCGGCUGGAUUUAGAACCCCACGGACACCAAAAAGUGGUCUGACAGGCUGUGUGAAGGCAAAGCUUCCUUGAAGGCUGGCUGGUCCACCACGGGAGAGUUGAGCAUAGUUCAGUGUGUAUGUGUUGUGCUCUUUCACUGAGUUGUAAAAGAAAGCAGAGCUAGUGAACUAGUGUUUAUUUGCAGUGCCUACCGUGCUGCAAUGAUCUCUUUUGUGACCUGCAGAUCCUGCAGGUAUCCCGUGGGAAUGCAGCCCUCUGAUGCAGUCAGAAAACACUGCUCAUCAUGUCUUAGCAGGAUCAGAUGGUGACAGGGGUCCCAGCAGGGUCAGACAGCCAGGGAUGACCAGUCUACGGAGCUCAGGAGUAUCAGAUGGUGACAGGGGUCUCAGCAGGGUCAGGCAGCCAGGGAAGACCAGUCUGAUGGAGGUGAGGCUAAUUUUUGCAGAUACAACACUUUAUUCCCUCUGUGCAGCAAACACUGGUCAAGCCUGAUGCUAUUUUAAGGCAGUCUGACAAAACUCCAAAGUUGAUUUCCAAACUAUAUCAAGGGUUGAUAGAGGCUUUACCCAAUGACACAAAACAAAAAUGUGAGGAAGACCUGGUAAAAUCUAUUGUUGAUGAUGAAUGUGUACAGAUUUCUCUGAAUGCCCAGACAUGUUCAUAUCAUCUCAGACAUAAAUUACUGCAGUUUAAGACCAUCCAUAGAAUGCACUAUAUUCCAUUGAAACUGAAAUACAGGCACUCAGAAAUGUAAUUCCUCUGCUGUAGGUGUAAAACACAAAAGAGGACACAUUUGCAUGUUAUGGUCUCGUGAAGGCUUUCUGAAUUCUGGCAAAGAGUAUGUUAUCUCAGCAUCUCUACAGAUUCUCCCUGUCUUUGUUUACUUGGAAAUGUUGAUACUGGAGACUUAUCUGAAGAAACUGUGUAACCAAGUAUUUAUAGUGGUUAAUAAAUGCAUUACCAUUAAUUGGAAGGUUGAUUGUCCUCUCACAAUGUCAAGUUAUGUAUCACUAUAUUUUAUUUAUUACAAGAUUAAGGGUAUACUGGGGAACUUUCAUAAGGUCUGGAUGCCUUUUAUGGAAUACAGUAUGACAAAAGUAGUCUGUAUUGAAAACAUGCCCACGUCAGGGAGAUACGGUAGCUGUUUAGGCAAUCCCUAGCUGCUGCGUUGCCAAAAUGUAAUAUAAAGGGCUGUUCUUUUGUUAGGCUAUUGGUUAUAGGCGCACCUCAAUAUUUAUUAUUUAAUUAACCUUGAUCUAUUUCAGUCCUAUUAAUCACUUAAACAUAAUUAAUAAUGAUCUCUUAUCUAGGUUGAUGACUGUUGGUGUUUUGUUUACUUUUUGUUCUAAAUAGUAACAGCAUAUUGGAUUGUCUAAAAAUGCGGGAAAAGAGCUGUAGAUGCCCCCCCCCCACCCCCCAAAAACGGCAGAUUAUGUCCCCCCCUCCAGCUCUAAAACCAAAGAGGCGCCAGUGCUGCCAACAACACUAUUAUGGUUGAGGAUGUUUUAAAAAAAAAUUUAAAAAAUUGCACAAACGUGUUCAGUUUGAAAGAUGUAGUAUACAUUCAUUCUGAAAUACUUCCCACAGCUGCUGUCUAACCUGAGUGAGGCCAGUCAUACUAAGACAUGCAUGUGGUUGUGCUCAAGUCUAGCUGGAAGUCAAGUUUUAAUGUCACAUGCACAAGUACAGUGAAAUGACUUUCUUGCAAACCCAAUACCCAAAAAUGCAAUAAUCAAUAUCAAUGUAUUCAAUAGAGGAACAAAUGUAGUGAUGUAAGUAGGAUUUAGUCCCUGUAAGUAGGAUUCAUGUCAACUAGUAAUGUUUAAGCUGGAGGCCAAGCUGAGAACUCAACACUGACAUAUUGAUAGUGAUAGUACUACAGUAUGUCUAACUGCCUGGUUAAGGGUAUACCAUGAGAUCUGGGAUUUGAUUUGUCCCUUGCUGAUAAAGGAGAAGAUGGUUCUAAUUGGUCCUUAGUGUGUUCCACAGAAUGACUGCUCCCUGACCCAUUUGAGCCAGGUGGGAAAUGGACUGAUGAACGGCAGCGUGGCCACCCUCUCCAAGUGUGUGUUAAUGGUUUCUCUCAAUGUAUAGCACCCUUGUCCUUCUGUAUUUAGCUAGUUGAGCUGCCUGGGUCUUUUCCAAGUGUCUGCCCUGUACCUUACCUCUGGUUCAUGUGACCUGACUGUCCAGUACUGAGAUCUGUGUGUCCAGGUGUCUGCCUGUCUGUCCCUCCAUGGUUUCUGUGGACCUGUCAGGGAACCUGGCAGUGACCUCAGCGGGACUCCACGGUCUCCUCUCCACCCAGCGACCUUUGACCUCUCUCAACCUCCAAGAUACAGUAGGCCUAUAGUAGACUGUUGGUUCUGCCACGAACCGGCUCGAAGCCUGUAACAAAAAGGGGAGACAACGUAGAGAUAAAGAAUAACAAAAAUAUAUUUACGACGGAAGUAACCUAUAUACACUAAACAAUGGUAUAUGUAGUCAGUAGUGUAAGAGUGGUUGCAUGCCUAGAUGUGAUAAUGAGGGGUGUUGAAGGGUGCCAAUGCAAACAAACAAAACAGCCACAAAAUUGCCACAAUCAAAAUUCAACAGUGUGUCUGGAUGGAGGGAGGGAAAGGUGUAUUUAUCCCGGGACACACCCAUGCCCAGGUGUGUCCCAUUUCGCUGACGACCCUCCCGGCUCCGCCCACCGACAUCCUAUUAAGGAAAACAUGAGCAAAGAGAGAGAAUUCGGCAGACAGAGUGGGAGGUUCGUCACAGUUCUCAUUCCCUCUAAAUUGUUCCCUCUCUUUUCUUUCUUCAGGUUAUCAGGUAGCCGGGUAAACCAGGUAAACCCUUAGGACAGGUCUAUUUUGGACGGCCUGUCAGAGCAGGUCCAGGACCUGCGGCUGUGCUCCCAGAGGCUCAACAAACUGGACUGCGAGGCCCUGCAGCAGACCUGGGGCCAGAGGAGGCCCGGGGGCUGCUUACUCUCCAGAGAUGUCAAGUGCCUGCUCACUACUGCCCCCUCACUGUGAGGAAGAUUCCGUGAGUUCUUGUACACCCUUAAAGAAUUGUGUCGCUUGGAUUCCAAUGUGUACACUUGAGAUGAUUUACGUUCCUUGGUCGUCAUAUGAGGCAUCUUUUGAUGACACAGGCUGCAAUAUUUUGUAUGCAUUAUGUAGAUAUACGUAUUUCAGUGUGUGUUUUGGGGUGCGUUUAUACAUGUGUAUGUUUUGGAAAACCCCCAAAAUUAAGUGAAAAUAAUUAUUAUUAUUUCUGGACUGCUUAUCGCCAUGGUGCUUUUUUUCCAUACAACUUCCCAACAUUUUCUGACUGACUGAAUGGUCAAGCUUCCCUCUGGUUUACUUGUUAGUUAUCCCACUGACUGGCCUUCUUCUCACUGUUUAAUAUUUCCACAGAGGAGGGUGUUGGGUGGGCUUCAAGGUACUGUGGGAAAGUUCCUAGUCACACAUCAGUGUUGUCACCUCAGUGUAUCACUAUAUCACUGGACCAAGGUGAUUAUGUCUAGGAUAACUAAUUUCAUCACCUGUUGUUGUAAUUUCCCAUUUAUAAAAAGCAAUUACUAAAUGGUUUCUGUUAGUUCAACUUGUGAAUAGUGUCACUGCCACCUUGUUAGCUGUUUAAGCAUACCCAUUUGUUUGAAGUACUGCUAACAAGGGGCACAACUUUCACUGGGGAUGGUGCGGUCAUGUCCCCCUAGAAGAAAAAGAAACGCACACCUAUUAUGGCGAGGUGCUGGCUAGCGGAGUAGAAAACUUGAAAAUAAGGGAGAGCCGCACACUCUAGGAGCUCAGAUGCAACAUUUUUAUAUCCAACGUUUCGACAGCCAAGCUGUCUUCAUCAGGGUAUGAUCACAAACACUGCGAGAUGACUAGUUUAUAUAUUGUCAAAAGACACACAGGUGUCUGUAAUCAUGGCCAAGUGUGGCCUAAUAUUAUUGGUUAAUUCUCAAAUAUAAAAAUGGCAUACAAAAAACACCAUACAAAAAAACAAAUGGAUAGCAUACGAUCAUAGAAUCAUUUUAGACUACACAAGCUUACAAACAAUUACAAUGGCAAAGUCACAAGAAUGGCUUAAGAUCAAAGUCCAUGUUGAGACCGAAGGGUGCAAGGGUCUUAAAGUUAAAGAUCCAGGCAGCCUCUCGUUUUAACAAUAAAUUAUCAAGGUCACCCCAUCUCCUAUGGAGGGUGACAUGUUCAAUGCCAAUAUAACGCAGAGACGAAAUCGAGUGGUUUGCUUCCAAAAAGUGGGCCGCAACUGGGUAAUUCAAGUUUUUGCACCUAAUGGUGCUACGAUGCUCUGAG
Long non-coding RNA from Salmo salar (Atlantic salmon), 6519 nucleotides. RefSeq lists it as uncharacterized. NCBI's taxonomy places the organism in Eukaryota, Metazoa, Chordata, Actinopteri, Salmoniformes, Salmonidae. The record is from RefSeq and is a predicted model, not a curated record.